This 77-nucleotide long non-coding RNA is filed under the name Meriones unguiculatus (Mongolian gerbil). RNAcentral describes it as "CLRN1 antisense RNA 1 conserved region (ENSMUGG00000012857.1)". It matches the Rfam family "CLRN1 antisense RNA 1 conserved region". Lineage: Eukaryota; Metazoa; Chordata; Mammalia; Rodentia; Muridae. The record is from RNAcentral.
CUGAGUAGGGACAGCUCUGGGUUACCUGACAAAUUACAAUCCUUGUGCUGAGAAGCAGAGUGGGACCUUGAUCAAUA